AAAACAGUUAUAGUUUAGUUGAUGGUCCCUUACUAAUUGGAUAACCGUAGUAAUUCUAGAGCUAAUACAUGCAUAAAGGGCUGACUCACGAACGCCUGUGUUUAUUAGAUAAAACCAAUUGCCCUCUGGGUAUUAGGUGAUUCAUAGUAACUUCUCGGAUCGGAUGUCUUCGCGACGCCGACAGAUCAUUCAAAUUUCUGCCCUAUCAGCUUUCGAUGGUACGGUAGUGGCCUACCAUGGCGGUGACGGGUGACGGAGAAUUAGGGUUCGAUUCCGGAGAGGGAGCCUGAGAAACGGCUACCACAUCUAAGGAAGGCAGCAGGCGCGUAAAUUACCCAAUCCUGACGCAGGGAGGUAGUGACAAGAAAUAUCAAAAGAUUGAACACAGUUCUGUCUUAUUGGAAUGAGUACAUUCUAAACCCCUUAACGAGAACCAAUUGGAGGGCAAGUCUGGUGCCAGCAGCCGCGGUAAUUCCAGCUCCAAUAGCGUAUACUAAAGUUGUUGCAGUUAAAAAGCUCGUAGUUGGAUUUCUGUGCAGCGGUUGUUGGGCUACGCUUAUGGCGUGGUCCCUUCACCGCUGUACAUCCUGUUGGCAGACACGUACUGGCAUUAAUUUGUCGGUGCGGGGAGACCCUCGUUUACUUUGAGAAAAUUAAAGUGUUCAAAGCAGGCGCUCGUUUGAAUACAUUAGCAUGGAAUAAUAGUAUAGGACUUUGAUCUUAUUUGUUGGUUUUAAAGAUCAAAAUAAUGAUUGAUAGGGACAGUUGGGGGCAUCAGUAUUUGAAGCGAGAGGUGAAAUUCCUGGACCUUCGGAAGACUAACAACUGCGAAAGCAUUUGCCAAGGAUGUUCUCUUUAAUCAAGAACGAAAGUUAGGGGAUCGAAGACGAUCAGAUACCGUCGUAGUCUUAACUAUAAACUAUGCCAGCUAGGGAUCGGUGAACGUUGUUUCGACUUCAUCAGCCCUUAUGAGAAAUCAAAGCAUUUGGGUUCCGGGGGGAGUAUGGUCGCAAGGCUGAAACUUAAAGGAAUUGACGGGAGGGCACCCCAGGAGUGGAGCCUGUGGCUUAAUUUGACUCAACACGGGAAAA
Molecule: ribosomal RNA, 1091 nt
Filed under: uncultured Polycystinea
Lineage: Eukaryota; Polycystinea
Description: bacterial SSU rRNA
Rfam family: Eukaryotic small subunit ribosomal RNA
Source: RNAcentral